AAAAGAAACCAACAGGGAUUGCCCCAGUAACGGCGAGUGAAGCGGCAACAGCUCAGAUUUGGAAUCUGGCCCCCCCCCGGGGGCCCGAGUUGUAAUCUGGAGAGGAUGCUUCUGGCGCGGCGCCUGGCGAGUUCCCUGGAACGGGACGCCGGAGAGGGUGAGAGCCCCGUACUCCAGGACGCCCAGCCUCUGCGAAGCUCCUUCGACGAGUCGAGUAGUUUGGGAAUGCUGCUCUAAACGGGAGGUAAAUUUCUUCUAAAGCUAAAUACCGGCCAGAGACCGAUAGCGCACAAGUAGAGUGAUCGAAAGAUGAAAAGCACUUUGAAAAGAGGGUCAAACAGUACGUGAAAUUGUUGAAAGGGAAGCGCCCGUGGCCAGACUUGCGCCCCGCGGCCCACCCGGCGGACCCCGCCGGGGCACGCCGCGGGGCGCAGGCCAGCAUCGGCUCUCCUAGGGGGACAAGGACGGCGGGAACGUGGCUCCCUCGGGAGUGUUAUAGCCCGCCGCGCCAUGCCCCUGGGGGGGCCGAGGA
Molecule: ribosomal RNA, 532 nt
Filed under: Dryadomyces montetyi
Lineage: Eukaryota; Fungi; Ascomycota; Sordariomycetes; Ophiostomatales; Ophiostomataceae
Description: eukaryotic LSU rRNA
Rfam family: Eukaryotic large subunit ribosomal RNA
Source: RNAcentral